This 776-nucleotide long non-coding RNA is filed under the name Equus caballus (horse). RNAcentral describes it as "lncRNA (ENSECAG00000054993.1)". The record is from RNAcentral. Lineage: Eukaryota; Metazoa; Chordata; Mammalia; Perissodactyla; Equidae.
UUUCCUACCUUUAUUUAUUGCAAAUUUUGAGAAGCAAAUUCAUAUCUUGAAUAGGUGGAUCAGGUCACUCCUAGAGGCCUCUGAUAGCGUUCCAUCACUGUUAGCAUAAAACUCAAUUUCCUUACCAUAGUCAGCCAGGCCCUUUAUGACAGCACUCCUGUCAGCAUGGUCACUGUCCCCCAAGGACCCCACACUCCAAUCUCAAAUGCUCUAAGUCCUUUCCCACAGCAAGAUGUUUGCACAUGCUGUUCCCUUUUCCCAACUAGCGUUUUCUUCCUCUGCCUUUGCUGCCUGGAUCUUUCGCAUCUGUCACCUCUUUAGGAAAACCAAAAAUAAGUAUGUGAGAUGCGGAUGUGGAGCCCGCGGGCGAGCGCCGAACCCGCGGAUACGGAGGGCCGACUAAGGCACAGAGCACCCGCGGAUUUCGGUAUCUUCCGGGAGUCCUGGAACAAGUCCCCCGCGGAUACCGAAGGACGACUAGAGAAAAACAGCCCUGAGUCCUAUGGAUGAAAGCAGUGAUUCACGAAUUUACAUGGGCAUGAAGAAUCAUCUAGGACCCAGGUGAUUCUGAGAAAGGCCUGCAGAUCAUGCUCUGAGAAACCCUAGAAUGAAGAUGAGCUGUUUAAGCUAUUCUCAGUCACGUGUUGAGCUGUCAUCUGGAGCGAUUUCUGUUUAAGCUCAGAAAGAAACCCAUGAGGAAUAAAAAAAGUCCUUCUGUGAGUGAACUGAAUAAUCUGCAAUGAGAAGUUUCUGGAUGCCUUGGGAAGAGAUAAAGG